This 24-nucleotide microRNA is filed under the name Fasciola hepatica (liver fluke). Its description in RNAcentral is "fhe-miR-750". Its record names the gene fhe-miR-750. The record is from miRBase by way of RNAcentral. Lineage: Eukaryota; Metazoa; Platyhelminthes; Trematoda; Plagiorchiida; Fasciolidae.
ACCAGAUCUGACUCUUCCAGCUCU